AGUGAACGCUGGCGGUAGGCCUAACACAUGCAAGUCGAACGGCAGCACAGUAAGAGCUUGCUCUUACGGGUGGCGAGUGGCGGACGGGUGAGGAAUACAUCGGAAUCUACUUUUUCGUGGGGGAUAACGUAGGGAAACUUACGCUAAUACCGCAUACGAUCUACGGGUGAAAGCAGGGGAUCUUCGGACCUUGCGCGAUUGAAUGAGCCGAUGUCGGAUUAGCUAGUUGGCGGGGUAAAGGCCCACCAAGGCGACGAUCCGUAGCUGGUCUGAGAGGAGGAUCAGCCACACUGGAACUGAGACACGGUCCAGACUCCUACGGGAGGCAGCAGUGGGGAAUAUUGGACAAUGGGCGCAAGCCUGAUCCGGCCAUACCGCGUGGGUGAAGAAGGCCUUCGGGUUGUAAAGCCCUUUUGUUGGGAAAGAAAAGCAGCAGGUUAAUACCCCGCUGUUCUGACGGUACCCAAAGAAUAAGCACCGGCUAACUUCGUG
This 492-nucleotide ribosomal RNA is filed under the name uncultured bacterium. RNAcentral describes it as "partial 16S ribosomal RNA". It matches the Rfam family "Bacterial small subunit ribosomal RNA", at positions 29 to 507 of the family's 1533-position model. The record is from RNAcentral.